This 497-nucleotide ribosomal RNA is filed under the name uncultured bacterium. RNAcentral describes it as "partial 16S ribosomal RNA". It matches the Rfam family "Bacterial small subunit ribosomal RNA", at positions 28 to 507 of the family's 1533-position model. The record is from RNAcentral.
GAUGAACGCUGGCGGCGUGCCUAAUACAUGCAAGUCGAGCGAACAGACGAGGAGCUUGCUCCUUCGACGUUAGCGGCGGACGGGUGAGUAACACGUAGGUAACCUACCUAUAAGACUGGGAUAACUUCGGGAAACCGGAGCUAAUACCGGAUAAUAUUUCGAACCGCAUGGUUCGAUAGUGAAAGAUGGCUUUGCUAUCACUUAUAGAUGGACCUGCGCCGUAUUAGCUAGUUGCUAAGGUAACGGCUUACCAAGGCAACGAUACGUAGCCGACCUGAGAGGGUGAUCGGCCACACUGGAACUGAGACACGGUCCAGACUCCUACGGGAGGCAGCAGUAGGGAAUCUUCCGCAAUGGGCGAAAGCCUGACGGAGCAACGCCGCGUGAGUGAUGAAGGUCUUCGGAUCGUAAAACUCUGUUAUUAGGGAAGAACAAACGUGUAAGUAACUGUGCACGUCUUGACGGUACCUAAUCAGAAAGCCACGGCUAACUACGUG